UACAGAGGUCCUAAGCGUUGUUCGGAUUCACUGGGCGUAAAGGGUGCGUAGGUGGUGGGGUAAGUCGGAUGUGAAAUCUCCAGGCUCAACCUGGAAAUGGCAUUGGAAACUACCUUGCUAGAGGGUUUGAGGGGGGGACUGGAAUACUUGGUGUAGCAGUGAAAUGCGUAGAUAUCAAGUGGAACACCAGUGGCGAAGGCGAGUCCCUGGAAAAUACCUGACACUGAGGCACGAAAGCUAGGGGAGCAAACAGG
This 254-nucleotide ribosomal RNA is filed under the name uncultured bacterium. RNAcentral's name for it is "partial 16S ribosomal RNA". It matches the Rfam family "Bacterial small subunit ribosomal RNA", at positions 524 to 776 of the family's 1533-position model. The record is from RNAcentral.